RNAcentral lists this ribosomal RNA (835 nucleotides) under Thelotrema lepadinum. Its description in RNAcentral is "eukaryotic LSU rRNA". It matches the Rfam family "Eukaryotic large subunit ribosomal RNA", at positions 79 to 940 of the family's 3401-position model. The record is from RNAcentral. Lineage: Eukaryota; Fungi; Ascomycota; Lecanoromycetes; Ostropales; Graphidaceae.
CCUANUAACGGCGAGUGAAGCGGUAACAGCUCAAAUUUGAAAUCUGGCCUCUGAGGUCCGAGUUGUAAUUUGCAGAAGGUGCUUCGGAUGUAACAAUGGUACAAGUCCUUUGGAAUUGGGCGUCAUAGAGGGUGAUAACCCCGUUUGUGACCGCUUUGUUCAUCCAUGUGAAGCCCUUUCGACGAGUCGAGUUGUUUGGGAAUGCAGCUCAAAAUGGGUGGUAGACUUCAUCUAAAGCUAAAUAUCAGCCAGAGACCGAUAGCGCACAAGUAGAGUGAUCGAAAGAUGAAAAGCACUUUGAAAAGAGAGUCAAACAGCACGUGAAAUUGUUGAAAGGGAAGCGCUAGCCACCAGACUUGCUUGUAUUGUUCAGCCUCCUGAAAAGGUGGUGUAUUCUUUACUUGCAGGCCAGCAUCGGUUUCGACGGUCGGAUAAAAGCUUAUGGAAAGUAGCUUUCCUCCGGGGAAGUGUUAUAGCCUGAGUACAAUGCGACCAGUUGGACCGAGGAACGCGCUUUUGCUCGGAUGUUGGCAUAAUGGUUGUUAGCGACCCGUCUUGAAACACGGACCAAGGAGUCGACCAAUUAAGCGAGCGUUAGGGUGUAAAACCCACGGCGCGUAAUGAAAGUAAACGUAGGUGGGAAGCCUUUGGCAGCACCAUCGACCGAUCUGAGUUCGCGAGGAUUUGAGUAUGAGUUUCAUUGGUCGGACCCGAAAGAAGGUGAACUAUUCCCGAAUAGGUUGAAGUCAGGUGAAAACCUGAUGGAAGACCGCAGCGGUUCUGACGUGCAAAUCGAUCGUCAAAUUUAGGAAUAGGGGCGAAAGACUAAUCGAAC